UACAGAGGUCUCAAGCGUUGUUCGGAUUCAUUGGGCGUAAAGGGUGCGUAGGCGGCGCGGUAAGUCGGGUGUGAAAUCUCGGGGCUUAACUCCGAAACUGCAUUCGAUACUGCCGUGCUUGAGGACUGGAGAGGAGACUGGAAUUUACGGUGUAGCGGUGAAAUGCGUAGAUAUCGUAAGGAAGACCAGUGGCGAAGGCGGGUCUCUGGGACGGUACUGACGCUGAGACGCGAAAGCGUGGGGAGCGAACAGG
Molecule: ribosomal RNA, 253 nt
Filed under: uncultured bacterium
Lineage: Bacteria
Description: partial 16S ribosomal RNA
Rfam family: Bacterial small subunit ribosomal RNA
Source: RNAcentral